Long non-coding RNA from Molossus molossus (Pallas's mastiff bat), 327 nucleotides. RefSeq lists it as uncharacterized. The transcript is spliced from 3 exons. Lineage: Eukaryota; Metazoa; Chordata; Mammalia; Chiroptera; Molossidae. The record is from RefSeq and is a predicted model, not a curated record.
UCUUGUAUGUCAGUUUCAAAAUCAUAGAUAAAGCAUUAAUUGAAGUACCCUAGUUUUUGUUUUGUUUGUAAUCUUCUCCCCUCAGAAGAAAGAGAUUUUGGUGGCAAACAAAGUGCAACCAGGAGAAAGGGUCAUCAUAACCUUGGCUUCAUGUUUGUGAGAUAAUAGAAGUCCAGAAACUUUUUCUAGUUGUAAUAUCAUAGAGAAGUUGCUCUUCUGGUGUGAAAGUAAACCCCAGACUUUGUCAGGAAUAGACUAUGAUACAGUGAUGAUGGUCAGGAAAGGAGAUGAAGUGACAUGCAAUGAAGACAGGAAGCGGCAACUCCA